RNAcentral lists this ribosomal RNA (253 nucleotides) under uncultured bacterium. RNAcentral's name for it is "partial 16S ribosomal RNA". It matches the Rfam family "Bacterial small subunit ribosomal RNA", at positions 524 to 776 of the family's 1533-position model. The record is from RNAcentral.
UACGGGGGGGGCAAGCGUUGUUCGGAAUUACUGGGCGUAAAGGGCUCGUAGGCGGCCAACUAAGUCAGACGUGAAAUCCCCAGGCUCAACCUGGGAACUGCGUCUGAUACUGGAUGGCUUGAAUUCGGGAGAGGGAUGCAGAAUUCCAGGUGUAGCGGUGAAAUGCGUAGAUAUCUGGAGGAAUACCGGUGGCGAAGGCGGCAUCCUGGGAUAACACUGACGCUCAUGCACGAAAGCGUGGGGAGCAAACAGG